Molecule: transfer RNA, 72 nt
Filed under: Sphaerodactylus townsendi
Lineage: Eukaryota; Metazoa; Chordata; Lepidosauria; Squamata; Sphaerodactylidae
Description: tRNA-Thr
Source: RNAcentral
GGGGUAAUGGCUUAGUGGCAGGGUAUCUGGUUUGUGUCCAGAAGGUCCCAGGUUCAGUCACUGGCAUCUCCA